RNAcentral lists this ribosomal RNA (373 nucleotides) under uncultured organism. RNAcentral's name for it is "bacterial SSU rRNA". It matches the Rfam family "Bacterial small subunit ribosomal RNA", at positions 527 to 896 of the family's 1533-position model. The record is from RNAcentral.
CGGGGGAGCAAGCGUUGUUCGGAUUUACUGGGCGUAAAGGGCGCGUAGGCGGCCACCGCAAGUCGACUGUGAAAUCUCCGGGCUUAACCCGGAAAGGUCAGCCGAUACUGCGGGGCUAGAGUGCAGAAGGGGCAACUGGAAUUCUCGGUGUAGCGGUGAAAUGCGUAGAUAUCGAGAGGAACACCUGCGGCGAAGGCGGGUUGCUGGGCUGACACUGACGCUGAUGCGCGAAAGCUAGGGGAGCGAACGGGAUUAGAUACCCCGAUAGUCCUAGCCUUAAACGAUGAAUGCUUGGUGUCUGGGGUUUUAUAGUCCCCGGGUGCCGUCGCUAACGCUUUAAGCAUUCCGCCUGGGGAGUACGGUCGCAAGACUG